Molecule: long non-coding RNA, 805 nt
Organism: Neogale vison (American mink)
Lineage: Eukaryota; Metazoa; Chordata; Mammalia; Carnivora; Mustelidae
Exons: 3
Source: RefSeq, a predicted model, not a curated record
UCAGCGGGCACUGCGGGCGGCGCGCACGGCGCAGGACGCGGCUUCCCUCCCCUUCGGCCGCCCCGCCCCCGCCCCGCCUGCCGGAACACCGAGGGGGUCUUCCCCGCCGGCGGGGUCUGGCCUGUUGGGCCGCGCAGGACUGCUGCCCUCGGCUCCAAGACCAACAGGCAGGGGCAUCUGGGGGUUAGGAUGGUCCAGGUCAGCCCGGUGGGACCCGGGCAAGUCCCACAAGCCCCCGCCUCGGUUUUUCCUGCUCUGCACGGGGACCCGCUCAUCGGACCUACCUUGGACGGUGCCGGCAAGGGCCAACUGACAAGGACCAAGUGAUGCCGGCCCAUGCUGGGACCCAAGCAGACGCUCACUCUGCCUUCCACCACUCCAGGUCUCCUCAGCGCGAUGCCCCAGCCUCUGGGCGGCAGCCAUAUCUGCUGCUGUGUGGACUCUCCAGGCUCCAGGCUCAGACGUGGUCCUUGUGCUGACUGCAGCCCUGAAUAACACCCCCACUCUGUGUGGUGGGCCCGCUGGUACACGCCUGCUCUCUGCGACGAGCCAGGAUUCUCGGCUUCUUGGGAUGCUGGACCGGGGAAGCAGGGACAGCUUGUUCUCCAGCAGACUGCCGCCUUGCAGACACCCAGAGCGGCUCCAGAGAGACCAGACUCUGUGCUGAAAUUAGCUCCGCUAACUGGGCUGCUGGUGAGACCCAACGUGCUCCCUGUGGCCUAGAAACAGCCGGGCUUCCGACUCAUGGGUGGAUGGGCACUGUGGGAUGGGCCUCUGCUCUGCAGGAGUAAAGAAAUGGUGUGUA